AUGAGGGUCCUCGCGCUCCUCCUCCUACUAUGGAUCUCUGCCGCCGCCACUGCAUCCCGUCCGCCGCUCGAGACCCUCGGCAUCCCUCCGCAAGAUGAGGCGUACUACAGGGGCGGCGUGAUCAAGUGCAGGGACGGAUCGGGCAAGUUCACCAGGGAUCAGCUCAACGACGACUUCUGCGACUGUCCCGACGGCACCGACGAGCCAGGGACAUCCGCGUGCCCGGAGGCGAAAUUCUACUGCAAGAAUACCGGACAUUCUCCAAUCACCAUCUUCUCGUCGCGAGUGAAUGAUGGUAUAUGCGAUUGCUGUGACGGGAGUGACGAAUACGGUAGCAAUGGCACUUGCAAGAAUACAUGCUGGGAAGCUGGCAAGGCGGCGAGGGAGAAGUUAAAGAAGAAAGUAGCUACAUAUAAAAGUGGUGUCGUUAUUCGGAAUCAGGAAGUUGAAAAGGCCGAAUUGGCAAUUGCGAAAGAUGAAGCAGAGUUAACAAAACUGAAGGGUGAAGAGAAGAUACUCCAGGGGCUUGUCGACAAGCUCAAAGAGCAAAAGAGAUUAAUAGAAAAGGCAGAGGAAGAGGAGCGCCUAAUAAAAGAGAAGGAAGAAAAGAGAAUUAAAGAAGAAGCUGAAAAACAAGCAGCUGAGGAAAACAAAGCACCUGAUGCCUCUCAGGAAGCAGAUUCUCAGGACACUAAUGAGAAGGCACAAGAAGAUGAAAGCAAGGUAGUUGAACAUCAUGAUGGAGAUAUCACGGACCAUGACAAUCACUCACCAGAAGGCGAGACAUCUGUUGAAGUGCCUGACAUUAAAGCUGGGACUGGAGAUGAUGAACCACCGGUGGAGACAUCUGCAGUACCUACCGAGGAGCAGGACCCUACUUCUGUCAACUCUGAAGGUUUGUCAAAGGCGGAAUUGGGUCGUCUGGUAGCUUCUCGCUGGACUGGAGAAAAUGUAGAUGAUGUUGGUAAAAGCGAUAAAAAGGGCCAUGAGGAUGAGCUGGAUAUUCCAGAACCUGCAGAAGAAGCAUUUGAAGAUGAGCAUGAUAUACCAGAACCCGUAGAAGAAAAUUAUGCUGGCUAUCAUUCAGAAGUUGAGGAUGAUAGGCACAAAUUUGAAGACGAAGAGUUGUCUAAUGUAUCAGAUGAUGAAUAUGUUGAUGAUCAUGAAGAACCGGAUGUGUCCUAUAAAUCUGAUGACGACCGGAAAGGUGAUGACCAUUCAGAUUUAACUGCCUCAGGACAAGCAUCAUGGCUGGACAAGAUUCAGCAAACUGUACAGAAUGUUUUACAGAAAUUCAACUUUUUCAAGACCCCUGUUGAUUUAUCAGAGGCUGCUCAUGUUCGGAAGGAGUACGAUGAUGCUAGCUCAAAGCUGUCCAAAAUUCAAUCUAGGAUAACCUCUCUGACAGAUAAGCUAAAGCAAGACUUUGGUAAGGAGAAGGAGUUCUAUUACUUUUAUGACCAGUGCUUUGAGGGCAAGGAGGGCAAGUAUGUUUACAAGGUCUGUCCAUACAAGAAAGCUUCACAGGUUGAAGGACACAGUUCCACUAACCUGGGGCGCUGGGACAAAUUUGAAGAAUCCUACAGGAUGAUGCACUUUUCAAGUGGAGACAAAUGCUGGAAUGGCCCUGACCGAAGCCUAAAGGUCAGGCUUAGAUGUGGGCUGAGCAACGAACUUAACGGUGUCGAUGAGCCCAGCAGAUGCGAGUACGUCGCUGUACUGUCAACUCCUGCAAUGUGUGUUGAAGAGAAGCUGAAGGAGCUGCAACAGAAACUCGAUGCUGUGGCUUCAGACCUGUCCGGCCACGACGAGCUCUAA
Molecule: ribosomal RNA, 1818 nt
Filed under: Triticum aestivum (bread wheat)
Lineage: Eukaryota; Viridiplantae; Streptophyta; Magnoliopsida; Poales; Poaceae
Description: partial small subunit ribosomal RNA
Source: RNAcentral